GAAGCCCAGCUUGCUGGGUGGAUCAGUGGCGAACGGGUGAGUAACACGUGAGCAACCUGCCCCUGACUCUGGGAUAAGCGCUGGAAACGGCGUCUAAUACUGGAUAUGAGACGUGAUCGCAUGUUCGUGUUUGGAAAGAUUUUUCGGUCUGGGAUGGGCUCGCGGCCUAUCAGCUUGUUGGUGAGGUAAUGGCUCACCAAGGCGUCGACGGGUAGCCGGCCUGAGAGGGUGACCGGCCACACUGGGACUGAGACACGGCCCAGACUCCUACGGGAGGCAGCAGUGGGGAAUAUUGCACAAUGGGCGCAAGCCUGAUGCAGCAACGCCGCGUGAGGGAUGACGGCCUUCGGGUUGUAAACCUCUUUUAGCAGGGAAGAAGCGAAAGUGACGGUACCUGCAGAAAAAGCGCCGGCUAACUACGUGCCAGCAGCCGCGGUAAUACGUAGGGCGCAAGCGUUAUCCGGAAUUAUUGGGCGUAAAGAGCUCGUAGGCGGUUUGUCGCGUCUGCUGUGAAAUCCCGAGGCUCAACCUCGGGCCUGCAGUGGGUACGGGCAGACUAGAGUGCGGUAGGGGAGAUUGGAAUUCCUGGUGUAGCGGUGGAAUGCGCAGAUAUCAGGAGGAACACCGAUGGCGAAGGCAGAUCUCUGGGCCGUAACUGACGCUGAGGAGCGAAAGGGUGGGGAGCAAACAGGCUUAGAUACCCUGGUAGUCCACCCCGUAAACGUUGGGAACUAGUUGUGGGGUCCAUUCCACGGAUUCCGUGACGCAGCUAACGCAUUAAGUUCCCCGCCUGGGGAGUACGGCCGCAAGGCUAAAACUCAAAGGAAUUGACGGGGACCCGCACAAGCGGCGGAGCAUGCGGAUUAAUUCGAUGCAACGCGAAGAACCUUACCAAGGCUUGACAUAUACGAGAACGGGCCAGAAAUGGUCAACUCUUUGGACACUCGUAAACAGGUGGUGCAUGGUUGUCGUCAGCUCGUGUCGUGAGAUGUUGGGUUAAGUCCCGCAACGAGCGCAACCCUCGUUCUAUGUUGCCAGCACGUAAUGGUGGGAACUCAUGGGAUACUGCCGGGGUCAACUCGGAGGAAGGUGGGGAUGACGUCAAAUCAUCAUGCCCCUUAUGUCUUGGGCUUCACGCAUGCUACAAUGGCCGGUACAAAGGGCUGCAAUACCGUAAGGUGGAGCGAAUCCCAAAAAGCCGGUCCCAGUUCGGAUUGAGGUCUGCAACUCGACCUCAUGAAGUCGGAGUCGCUAGUAAUCGCAGAUCAGCAACGCUGCGGUGAAUACGUUCCCGGGUCUUGUACACACCGCCCGUCAAGUCAUGAAAGUCGGUAACACCUGAAGCCGGUGGCCCAACCCUUGUGGA
Molecule: ribosomal RNA, 1366 nt
Filed under: Microbacterium sp. MH32
Lineage: Bacteria; Bacillati; Actinomycetota; Actinomycetes; Micrococcales; Microbacteriaceae
Description: 16S ribosomal RNA
Rfam family: Bacterial small subunit ribosomal RNA
Source: RNAcentral